Molecule: unclassified non-coding RNA, 350 nt
Filed under: soil metagenome
Description: partial contains 5.8S ribosomal RNA, internal transcribed spacer 2, and large subunit ribosomal RNA
Rfam family: 5.8S ribosomal RNA (bases 1-120)
Source: RNAcentral
GAUGAAGAACGCAGCGAAAUGCGAUACGUAAUGUGAAUUGCAGAAUUCAGUGAAUCAUCGAAUCUUUGAACGCACAUUGCGCCCGCCAGUAUUCUGGCGGGCAUGCCUGUCCGAGCGUCAUUUCAACCCUCGAACCCCUCCGGGGGGUCGGCGUUGGGGAUCGGCCCUUUACGGGGCCGGCCCCGAAAUACAGUGGCGGUCUCGCCGCAGCCUCUCCUGCGCAGUAGUUUGCACACUCGCAUCGGGAGCGCGGCGCGUCCACAGCCGUUAAACACCCCAAACUUCUGAAAUGUUGACCUCGGAUCAGGUAGGAAUACCCGCUGAACUUAAGCAUAUCAAUAAGCAGAGGA